RNAcentral lists this small RNA (502 nucleotides) under Pongo abelii (Sumatran orangutan). Its description in RNAcentral is "retained intron". Lineage: Eukaryota; Metazoa; Chordata; Mammalia; Primates; Hominidae. The record is from RNAcentral.
UUCUUCCAGGGCCCAGGAAACCUUCAUGCAAUGGGAUCAGUGUCGGCGGUUCUACAACUUCCUCAUGGCCGACAACAUGAAGAAGAUCAUCCUCUCGCACAGGCAAGCUCUUUUUGGAGACCAUGUUAAGAAACCCCAGAGCCUGGAAGACACGGACUUGAGCCGGCUCUACACAGCAACAUCCCUGAUGCAGAUUGAUGACAAUGUGAUGAGGAAGUUUCAUGGCUAUAACUCCCUGAAGGAAUACUAUGAAGAAGAGAGUUGCAUGCGGUACCUGCACAGGAUUUAUGUUCCUCUCAUGCUGGUUAAUGCAGCUGACGAUCCGUUGGUGCAUGAAAGUCUUCUAACCAUUCCAAAAUCUCUUUCAGGUAAGUGUUUCUUCCUACUGCCCUCUCAACAGCUCAGCAAAUUGCCACAGUAAAUUCUGUCACCUUCACCAUCCUGUCAUCUCCUGGAGACCACCCUCUUUAGGGAGAGACAUCUCAUAGCAGUCAGCGUUCUU